CCCAUACAACAACCCAAUUUUCAGUGCUUGUUUUACUCUAUAAACAUACCAUGUACAUGUUGUUAAGUCGCAUAGAUAUUAUUUAACAUUCUAGAGCUUCAAUAAUUAGCCUUUCCAAGUGAAAAUAUGAUUCUACCUUACAUCGGAACCAAGCACCCCGAUAACCAAUGAGAAAGCAACGGUAUUCUAUCAGAUGCCCAACUUCAAAAGAUAACUUUCUUUCCAUAUCAUUUGACAAAAUAGCAUGCAUCUGUAGGAAAAAACUUGCAACUUGAAAAACUAGAUAAUACAUAACUUAAGCCAAAACAAAAACUAGAUAAUACAUAACUCAAAACAAAACAAAACAGACGAACAAUUGAAAGCAUAACUUUCAUCUAGCUCAUCACUUGCAUUCAUGAUACCAAGGAAGUAGGGAGCCAUAGCCAUGUAAAGCAAGCAACCUAGCUAUAGAUAUGCUUUAAAAUCCGAUAUAAAAUAUUGCACUGGAUUACAAGUAUUAAACAGCCAUAACCUAGGUUUUUUUGUUUUAAAAUUUUAAAUAACUAUCUCUGUUUGUAUUUGUUCAAACGUUUUAUGGCUAGUUCUAUGAGACAAUCAAAUAAUCCUACAAGAUUCCCAUGAAAUUAAACUGAUGAACUAAUAUUUUAAAUAGGUGGUCACCAACGUUAGAACCCUUAGCUUCGCGCAUUUUCUUUUCUUCCUGUUAGAUAUGAGAAAAAGAAUAUUGACACUGUCGAAAUGGGGUGAGUACGUGACGAACUAUUCCACCUGAAACCCAAAUCAGAUUACACAAGAAGAACACUCCAGUUGGUUGCAGAUAAGGAGAGGGAACAAUUACAGAAAUAGUUGGUUACGGUUCAAGACAACCAAUUAAGAAAAUCAAUUCACAUCCACCACCAAAUCUAUGUUUCUUUUAUCGGUUUUACCUCCUCAACGAACACAGUGAUCGAAACACAGCUAAUUCGCAAAUAUGUUUCUAAUGACUAUUACACUCCAGCACAAAUAAUUCAAAACCUACCGCAAAUGAAGACUGUAUUAAGGCUUAAGCUUCCAAUUUCCCUAAUAAUCACGUUGAAGAAUCAUUGGUACAAACUGAAAGUCGCUCAUCCAUUUGCAAAGGCUAGGACUACUCAAAUUAACCAAAACAAGUUUCCUACUCUUCCUAUCUCCAUAAUUGCUUCACUCUAAGUAGUAACGAAAGCAAAUGUAAAGUGCAAUACAAGGCAUCUAGUUAAGAUGAAGAAAUGUGAAGGUUGAAUUCAGAAGGUUACCUGAGUUCAUUCAUGCAAAUCAGACUCCUCCUUCUUCACCUGUGCUGAGGAACUUGGAAGUUUAAAACAAGUGCUCAUCUAAGCGCGCUAGUGGAUUUUCCAUAUUUGUUUCGUUUUACAUUCUCAUAUCUUAUAGUUGAUUUCGAUAGCCAUGAAAAUCUUUUAUCUUCACUUUAGGUCAAAUUACUUAUCUAAUUUGAGACAUCCUAAUUAAUUAUGUCAAAUUUGC
Molecule: long non-coding RNA, 1500 nt
Filed under: Cucumis sativus (cucumber)
Lineage: Eukaryota; Viridiplantae; Streptophyta; Magnoliopsida; Cucurbitales; Cucurbitaceae
Description: long non-coding RNA (CSAT_LNC000626)
Source: RNAcentral